UUUAAUGGCCGCGGUAUUUUGACCGUGCAAAGGUAGCAUAAUCAUUAGUUUUUUAAUUGAAAGCUGGAAUGAAAGGUUGAAUGAGAAAAUAACUGUCUUUUUAAUAUUUAAUUAGAACUUUAUCUUUAAGUUAAAAAGCUUAAAUUAAAUUUAAAGACGAGAAGACCCUUUAGAGUUUUAUAUUAGUUUAAUUUUUGAUUUUUUAGAAUUUAGUAUUAAAAAAUUAACUUUUAUUUAAUUGGGGUGAUUGAAAAAUUUAAUAAACUUUUUUUUUUACUUAACAUUAAUAUAUGAAUAAUUGAUCCAUAUUUUAUGAUUAUAAGAUUAAAUUACCUAAGGGAUAACAGCGUUAUUUUUUUUGAGAGUUCUUAUCGAAAAAAAAGAUUGCGACCUCGAUGUUGGAUUAAAAUUAAAUUAUGGUGUAGAGGCUAUAACUUUAGGUCUGUUCGACCUUUAAAAUUUUACAUGAUCUGAGUUUAAACCGGUUUGAGCCAGGUUGGUUUCUAUCUUAAAUAUAUAAUAAUAUUUUAGUACGAAAGGACCAAAUAUUAUACUUAUAAUAUUUUAUUUUGAAUUAAACUAAAUUAAUA
RNAcentral lists this ribosomal RNA (590 nucleotides) under Pria cinerascens. Its description in RNAcentral is "partial large subunit ribosomal RNA". It matches the Rfam family "Bacterial large subunit ribosomal RNA", at positions 1923 to 2743 of the family's 2925-position model. The record is from RNAcentral. Lineage: Eukaryota; Metazoa; Arthropoda; Insecta; Coleoptera; Nitidulidae.